Molecule: ribosomal RNA, 446 nt
Filed under: uncultured bacterium
Lineage: Bacteria
Description: partial 16S ribosomal RNA
Rfam family: Bacterial small subunit ribosomal RNA
Source: RNAcentral
CCUACGGGGGGCUGCAGUCGAGAAUCAUUCACAAUGGGGGAAACCCUGGUGGUGCGACGCCGCGUGGGGGAAUGAAGGUCUUCGGAUUGUAAACCCCUGUCAUGUGGGAGCAAAUUAAAAAGAUAGUACCACAAGAGGAAGAGACGGCUAACUCUGUGCCAGCAGCCGCGGUAAUACAGAGGUCUCAAGCGUUGUUCGGAAUCACUGGGCGUAAAGCGUGCGUAGGCUGUUUCGUAAGUCGUGUGUGAAAGGCGCGGGCUCAACCCGCGGACGGCACAUGAUACUGCGAGACUAGAGUAAUGGAGGGGGAACCGGAAUUCUCGGUGUAGCAGUGAAAUGCGUAGAUAUCGAGAGGAACACUCGUGGCGAAGGCGGGUUCCUGGACAUUAACUGACGCUGAGGCACGAAGGCCAGGGGAGCGAAAGGGAUUAGAUACCCGAGUAGUC